Molecule: ribosomal RNA, 468 nt
Filed under: uncultured bacterium
Lineage: Bacteria
Description: partial 16S ribosomal RNA
Rfam family: Bacterial small subunit ribosomal RNA
Source: RNAcentral
GACGAACGCUGGCGGCGUGCUUAACACAUGCAAGUCGAACGGAAAGGCCCUGCUUUUGUGGGGUGCUCGAGUGGCGAACGGGUGAGUAACACGUGAGUAACCUGCCCUUGACUUUGGGAUAACUUCUGGAAACUGGGGCUAAUACCGGAUAGGAGCUCCUGCUGCAUGGUGGGGGUUGGAAAGUUUCGGCGGUUGGGGAUGGACUCGCGGCUUAUCAGCUUGUUGGUGGGGUAGUGGCUUACCAAGGCUUUGACGGGUAGCCGGCCUGAGAGGGUGACCGGCCACAUUGGGACUGAGAUACGGCCCAGACUCCUACGGGAGGCAGCAGUGGGGAAUAUUGCAGAAUGGGCGGAAGCCUGAUGCAGCAACGCCGCGUGCGGGAUGACGGCCUUCGGGUUGUAAACCGCUUUCGCCUGUGACGAAGCGUGAGUGACGGUAAUGGGUAAAGAAGCACCGGCUAACUACGUG